CAGCCGCCGCGGGAAUACGAAGGUCCCGAGCGUUGUUCGGAAUCACUGGGCGUAAAGGGAGCGUAGGCGGCGUGGUAAGUCAGAUGUGAAAUCCCGGGGCUCAACCCCGGAACUGCAUCCGAUACUGCCGUGCUAGAGGAUUGGAGAGGUAGCUGGAAUUCUUGGUGUAGCAGUGAAAUGCGUGGAGAUCAAGAGGAACACUCGUGGCGAAAGCGAGCUACUGGACAAUAACUGACGCUGAGGCUCGAAGGCCAGGGUAGCGAAAGGGAUUAGAUACCCCGGUAGUCCCUGUCUCUUAUAC
This 301-nucleotide ribosomal RNA is filed under the name uncultured bacterium. RNAcentral's name for it is "partial 16S ribosomal RNA". It matches the Rfam family "Bacterial small subunit ribosomal RNA", at positions 509 to 807 of the family's 1533-position model. The record is from RNAcentral.